RNAcentral lists this transfer RNA (65 nucleotides) under Phaeovulum veldkampii DSM 11550. RNAcentral's name for it is "Rhodobacter veldkampii DSM 11550 tRNA-Arg". Lineage: Bacteria; Pseudomonadati; Pseudomonadota; Alphaproteobacteria; Rhodobacterales; Paracoccaceae. The record is from RNAcentral.
GCACCCGUAGCUCAGCUGGAUAGAGCGCUGCCCUCCGAAGGCAGGGGGCGAAGGCGGCGGGGGCC